GCGAACGGGUGAGUAACACGUGAGCAACCUACCCUUGACUCUGGGAUAACAGUUGGAAACAGCUGCUAAUACCGGAUACGACCCCGGCAGGCAUCUACCGGGGUGGAAAGCUCCGACGGUCAAGGAUGGGCUCGCGGCCUAUCAGCUUGUUGGUGAGGUAACGGCUCACCAAGGCGACGACGGGUAGCCGGCCUGAGAGGGCGACCGGCCACACUGGGACUGAGAUACGGCCCAGACUCCUACGGGAGGCAGCAGUGGGGAAUAUUGCGCAAUGGGCGAAAGCCUGACGCAGCAACGCCGCGUGCGGGAUGACGGCCUUCGGGUUGUAAACCGCUUUCAGCAGGGACGAAGGGUUACCUUGACGGUACCUGCAGAAGAAGCACCGGCUAACUACGUGCCAGCAGCCGCGGUGAUACGUAGGGUGCGAGCGUUGUCCGGAAUUAUUGGGCGUAAAGAGCUUGUAGGCGGUCUGUUGCGUCGGAAGUGAAAACUCAGGGCUUAACCCUGAGCCUGCUUUCGAUACGGGCAGACUUGAGGGAUGUAGGGGAGAACGGAAUUCCUGGUGGAGCGGUGGAAUGCGCAGAUAUCAGGAGGAACACCAGUGGCGAAGGCGGUUCUCUGGACAUUUCCUGACGCUGAGAAGCGAAAGCGUGGGGAGCAAACAGGCUUAGAUACCCUGGUAGUCCACGCCGUAAACGGUGGGCACUAGGUGUGGGACCCAUUCCACGGGUUCCGUGCCGAAGCUAACGCAUUAAGUGCCCCGCC
RNAcentral lists this ribosomal RNA (765 nucleotides) under Actinobacteria bacterium IPR-28G. RNAcentral's name for it is "bacterial SSU rRNA". It matches the Rfam family "Bacterial small subunit ribosomal RNA", at positions 98 to 873 of the family's 1533-position model. Lineage: Bacteria; Bacillati; Actinomycetota. The record is from RNAcentral.